Molecule: non-coding RNA, 29 nt
Filed under: Rattus norvegicus (Norway rat)
Lineage: Eukaryota; Metazoa; Chordata; Mammalia; Rodentia; Muridae
Source: RNAcentral
UGGAGAGUUCAGUGCCGGGUUUAAAAAGU